AGAGUUUGAUUAUGGCUCGGGAUGAACGCUGGCGGCGUGCCUAAUACAUGCAAGUCGUGCGAGGUAGCUUGCUACCUAGCGGCGAACGGGUGAGUAACACGUAGGUAACCUGCCUUUAAGACUGGGAUACCCAGAGGAAACUUUGGCUAAUACCGGAUAACAACGGAAGCGGCAUCGCUUCCGCUUGAAAGUCGCGUUUGCGGCACUUUUAGAUGGACCUGCGGAACAUUAGCUAGUUGGUGAGAUAACAGCCCACCAAGGCGAGGAUGUUUAGCCGACCUGAGAGGGUGAACGGCCACAAUGGGACUGAGACACGGCCCAUACUCCUACGGGAGGCAGCAGUAGGGAGUUUUCGGCAAUGGGGGAAACCCUGACCGAGCAACGCCGCGUGAGUGAUUAAGGUCUUCGGAUUGUAAAGCUCUGUUGUAAGGGAAGAAUGCUUGCUUCAGGAAAUGGGAGCGAGAGUGACGGUACCUUACCAGAAAGGGACGGCUAACUACGUGCCAGCCGCCGC
Molecule: ribosomal RNA, 514 nt
Filed under: uncultured bacterium
Lineage: Bacteria
Description: bacterial SSU rRNA
Rfam family: Bacterial small subunit ribosomal RNA
Source: RNAcentral